RNAcentral lists this ribosomal RNA (372 nucleotides) under Ozius rugulosus. Its description in RNAcentral is "partial 12S ribosomal RNA". The record is from RNAcentral. Lineage: Eukaryota; Metazoa; Arthropoda; Malacostraca; Decapoda; Oziidae.
UAUUAUACUAAAAAGGUGAAUAAAAUGAGCCGGAUUAUUAAAAGAUAUGUUCUCUAAAUUUGAAGAAUUUGGCGGUGAUUUAGUCUUGUCAGAGGAACCUGUUUUUGAAUCGAUACACCACGUAGGAUCUUACUCAUUCUUGUUAAGUAUUACAGCUUAUAUACCAUCAUUAACGGAUAAUUUUUAAAGAAAUAAUUAUUGUAAUUUAUAAGUUUAAAUAAAAUUAGAUCAAGGUGUAGCUUAUGAGUGAGUUAAAAUGGGUUACAAUAAAAUUUAUUUAUAACGUAAGGAUCGAGGAAGUGAUUUGAUCUAAAGGAGGAUUUGAUUGUAAUUUGAGUUUAAUACGCUUAAGAGAUAUAAGCUCUAAAUCAU